GGGUUGUGAGGUUAAGCGACUAAGCGUACACGGUGGAUGCCCUGGCAGUCAGAGGCGAUGAAGGACGUGCUAAUCUGCGAUAAGCGCCGGUAAGGUGAUAUGAACCGUUAUAACCGGCGAUUUCCGAAUGGGGAAACCCAGUGUGACUCGUCACACUAUCAUUAACUGAAUCCAUAGGUUAAUGAGGCGAACCGGGGGAACUGAAACAUCUAAGUACCCCGAGGAAAAGAAAUCAACCGAGAUUCCCCCAGUAGCGGCGAGCGAACGGGGAGGAGCCCAGAGCCUGAAUCAGCAUGUGUGUUAGUGGAAGCGUCUGGAAAGGCGCGCGAUACAGGGUGACAGCCCCGUACACAAAAGCGCAUGUGCUGUGAGCUCGAUGAGUAGGGCGGGACACGUGGUAUCCUGUCUGAAUAUGGGGGGACCAUCCUCCAAGGCUAAAUACUCCUGACUGACCGAUAGUGAACCAGUACCGUGAGGGAAAGGCGAAAAGAACCCCGGCGAGGGGAGUGAAAAAGAACCUGAAACCGUGUACGUACAAGCAGUGGGAGCCUCUUUUAUGGGGUGACUGCGUACCUUUUGU
This 580-nucleotide ribosomal RNA is filed under the name Salmonella enterica subsp. enterica serovar Haifa. RNAcentral describes it as "partial 23S ribosomal RNA". It matches the Rfam family "Bacterial large subunit ribosomal RNA", at positions 1 to 611 of the family's 2925-position model. Lineage: Bacteria; Pseudomonadati; Pseudomonadota; Gammaproteobacteria; Enterobacterales; Enterobacteriaceae. The record is from RNAcentral.